Molecule: long non-coding RNA, 413 nt
Organism: Carica papaya (papaya)
Lineage: Eukaryota; Viridiplantae; Streptophyta; Magnoliopsida; Brassicales; Caricaceae
Source: RefSeq, a predicted model, not a curated record
UGGAUCCGAAAAUAAUCCAUCGCUUGCUCAAUAUUAUCCUCAACCAGCUCAGUAUUAUUCUCAACCGGUUCAAAGUUAUGCUCCGCCGGUAUAUCCUCCGCCCGCACCUCAGCCUCAGGGGAAAGUUUCUGUCCCGCAACCACCGCAAAAUCCAACGAUACCGCCUUACUCUCGUGCCCAACGGCCACAGCCGCCGACACAGAACUCCGAAGAUCGUUUUUGCAACGGAUGCUUGGCGGGUCUUUGCUGCUGCUGGCUUUUCAAUUGGUGCUACAGUCCUUGGUAGUCAAUUUAGCCAAGACAAAUUUUUUUGAAGAAGUAGGACUUGGUAUUGGUUAUGUUUGUCUCUAAUCUAUUUAUUAUUAUGAAUUUAAACAAAUGUUAUUUGAGAAUAAAGUUGGGUUAUGCACCUA